AGAAUGUCUUAUAAUUGGAAUUGUUGUCACAGACUCGAGAUCUGAUUGGUUACCGCCUGGCGACACAAGCCUGGUGUAAUAUGAUUGGAUAAAAACUUUACAAUAAUAUACAACAGUCGGAGCGGCGAAACCGAGCGGAUAUAAUAUGACACGAAGAAAACAGACCAUGGAGAAUCAUUUAUGACCUCUCUACAAACAAAAUCUGAGCAUGUUUAGGUUAGCAGAGAACGUUUUGCUGCGUCUGAUGGCCGCCACUGCGUCCGAGUUUGCGUUGCCACGCACGUCCGUGCACGUGCGUCAAAACCAUGGUAACCAGCGCUGAGUUAAUAAAAGGAGCGCAGCUAUGUGAUUUUACACAUUUGCCUCUGGUCUUGGAGACAUUGGCAGCAACACAAAAAUCUGCGACCGUAUUAAUUUGUUUUGCUGGAGCAAUGGAGCGCCACUUGCCCCCGAGGAUCUGGCAGCUCUGGAGAAGGUUCAGACGGUGGAGCCGCCUAGGCAGACAGCGGUGGCAGCCGGAGGGGGAAGUUGCUGUGCACGGUCCACCUAGACUUCCUCCACCUAGACGUCGGAGACCUCGUUGUGACCCACCCACUUCCCACGUUCAGGAAGUUGGUCCCCCCACCUCUGACAUUGAGGUACCCCGCUCUGACCUGCCUUCUUACUUACAUGUUCCACCACGCUGGGGACACACACCACUUCCUCUUUAUUCAGAUCUUUUUCCUUCUUAUCCUCCUCCACGCUCUCCCUGUUCCUCCUUCUUCUAUUCCUUCCACACCCCCUCCUCCCUAUUCUCCUGUUCCUUCUUGCUCUUGUGCUCCUCCUCAUUCUCCUCCACGCUCUCCUGUUCCUUCUUCUAUUCCUUCCACACCCCCUCCUCCCUAUUCUCCUCCACGCUCUCCUGUUCCUUCUUCUCUUCCUUCCACACCCCCUCCUCCCUAUUCUCCUCCACGCUCUCCUGUUCCUUCUUCUGUUCCUUCCACACCCCUCCUCCCUAUUCUCCUCCACGCUCUCCUGUUCCUUCUUCUGUUCCUUCCACACCUCCUCCUCCCUAUUCUCCUGUUCCUUCUUGCUCUUGUGCUCCUCCUCAUUCUCCUCCACGCUCUCCUGUUCCUCCUUCUUCUGUUCCUUCCACACCCCCUCCUCCCUAUUCUCCUCCACGCUCUCCUGUUCCUUCUUCUGUUCCUUCCACACCCCCUCCUCCCUAUUCUCCUCCACGCUCUCCUGUUCCUUCUUCUGUUCCUUCCACACCCCCUCCUCCCUAUUCUCCUCCACGCUCUCCUGUUCCUUCUUCGUUCCUUCCACACCCCUCCUCCCUAUUCUCCUCCACGCUCUCCUGUUCCUUCUUCUGUUCCUUCCACACCCCCUCCUCCCUAUUCUCCUCCACGCUCUCCUGUUCCUUCUUCUGUUCCUUCCACACCCCCUCUUCCCUAUUCUCCUCCACGCUCUCCUGUUCCUUCUUCUGUUCCUUCCACACCCCCUCCUCCUUAUUCUCCUGUUCCCUCUUGCUCUCCUGCUCCUCCUCUUUCUCCUCCAUGCUCUUCUGCUCUUUCUCCUUCUGUUUCACCUUCACCCCCUCCUCCUUCUCUUCUGGUUCCACCUAUUGUGGCUCCUUCUGAGCUGCCGUGUGUUCCCGAUGCUGGCCUUUUCCUGUCUCCUGUUAUUCAGGACUCAGGCUCCAUAGUGGAAGGGACCAGCGAGGCCUUAGCGGUUGGGGAGAACAACGAGGCUCCUAGCAGCAGCAGCAGCACAUCUGCUAGAGGUAGGAAGGACAGUGAUGGGGAGGGGGCUGCUCCCAAAAGACCAUGUUUUACUGUGAGACACUGUGUCACACAGUAAACUUGGUCUUUCCCUUUGUUGGAUGGCAACAGCCACCUCUUCAUUCACGGAUAACUGGCUUCUGUUUCUGACAGGACCAGUUUAUCCUACUGUCUUCUUUUUUUCUUUCCUGAUUUCUUUCUUCAUAAUUUUAAAUAUUCAUCCAAACCCUGAGAACUAGCCUUUGCGUCUGGCUGGGCA
Molecule: long non-coding RNA, 2019 nt
Organism: Betta splendens (Siamese fighting fish)
Lineage: Eukaryota; Metazoa; Chordata; Actinopteri; Anabantiformes; Osphronemidae
Source: Ensembl